UCAAGCGUGAGGUAAGAGCAUUUGGUGGAUGCCUUGGCAUGUACAGGCGAUGAAGGACGUGGCACGCUGCGAUAAGCGUCGGGGAGUUGUGAGCAAACUUUGAUCCGGCGAUUUCCGAAUGGGGAAACCCACCUUCACCAUUUCUUCCGAUGGUUGCGUCAAGCAAUUAUGGGGAGAGGUGGAUAGGUAUCACCGAGCUGAAUACAUAGGCUUGGUGAAGCGAACCCGGGGAACUGAAACAUCUCAGUACCUGGAGGAAAAGACAUCAACCGAGAUUCCGUUAGUAGUGGCGAGCGAACGCGGACCAGGCCAGUGCCUUCUCUUCAGCAAGCAGAACACUUUGGAAAGAGUGGCCAUAGCGGGUGAUAGCCCCGUAUGCGAAUGCGAUGGAGAAGGACUUGAGUAGGGCGGGACACGUGAAAUCCUGUCUGAACAUAGGGGGACCACCCUCUAAGCCUAAAUACUCGUACAUGACCGAUAGCGAACAUAGUACCGUGAGGGAAAGGUGAAAAGCACCCCGAUGAGGGGAGUGAAACAGUACCUGAAACCGAAUGCUUACAAGCAGUUGGAGCCUCUUUAGGGGGUGACAGCGUACCUCUUGCAUAAUGGGUCAGUGACUUAGUGUAUCAUGCGAGCUUAAGCCGUUAGGUGUAGGCGCAGCGAAAGCGAGUCUGAAUAGGGCGAUAGAGUAUGAUGCAUUAGACCCGAAACCCGGUGAUCUAGGCAUGACCAGGUUGAAGGUGCGGUAACACGCACUGGAGGACCGAACCGUUCAAUGUUGAAAAAUUGUCGGAUGAGUUGUGUUUAGGGGUGAAAGGCCAAUCAAACCGGGAAAUAGCUGGUUCUCCGCGAAAUCUAUUGAGGUAGAGCGUCGGAUAAUUGCCGUUGGGGGUAGAGCACUGGAUGGUUGCGGGGGUCGCGAGAUCUACCAAUACUAACCAAACUCCGAAUACCAACGAGUCUAGUCCGGCAGACAGACGGCGGGUGCUAAGGUCCGUCGUCAAAAGGGAAACAGCCCUAACCUACAGCUAAGGUCCCCAAGUCAUCACUAAGUGGGAAAGCAUGUGGGAAUCCCAAAACAACCAGGAGGUUGGCUUAGAAGCAGCCAUCCUUUAAAGAAAGCGUAACAGCUCACUGGUCUAAAUAAGGGUUCCUGCGGCGAAAAUGUAACGGGGCUAAAGUGAUGCACCGAAGCUUAGGGUUCAGUCUUUGACUGAGCGGUAGCGGAGCGUUCCGUAGGCCUGUGAAGCGAUCUGGUAAUGGGUCGUGGAGGUAUCGGAAGUGCGAAUGCUGACAUGAGUAGCGACAAGGAGUGUGAGAUGCACUCCCGCCGAAAGACCAAGGGUUCCUGCUUAAAGCUAAUCUGAGCAGGGUGAGCCGGCCCCUAAGACGAGCCCGAAGGGGGUAGUCGAUGGGAACCACGUUAAUAUUCGUGGGCCUGGUGGUGUGUGACGGAUCUCUUACAUUGUAUGUCCUUAUCGGAUUGGACAUGCCUUCACGAGGUUCCAGGAAAUAGCCCCACCGUAUAGACCGUACCCGAAACCGACACAGGUGGUCAGGUAGAGUAUACCAAGGCGCUUGAGAGAAGUAUCCUGAAGGAACUCGGCAAAUUGCCUCCGUACCUUCGGAAGAAGGAGGCCCCAUUUAUGCGCAAGCAUUUGUGGGGGGCACAGGCCAGGGGGUAGCGACUGUUUAGCAAAAACACAGCACUCUGCUAAGUCGGCUUCAAGACGACGUAUAGGGUGUGACGCCUGCCCGGUGCUGCUCGAAGGUUAAGAGGAGGAGUGCAAGCUCCGAAUUGAAGCCCGAGUAAACGGCGGCCGUAACUAUAACGGUCCUAAGGUAGCGAAAUUCCUUGUCGGGUAAGUUC
Molecule: ribosomal RNA, 1870 nt
Filed under: wastewater metagenome
Description: bacterial LSU rRNA
Rfam family: Bacterial large subunit ribosomal RNA
Source: RNAcentral